Molecule: long non-coding RNA, 782 nt
Organism: Mustela lutreola (European mink)
Lineage: Eukaryota; Metazoa; Chordata; Mammalia; Carnivora; Mustelidae
Exons: 3
Source: RefSeq, a predicted model, not a curated record
UAGGAGACACUCAACCAAAGUCGCAGAACGCGGGACCAUGUCUGCAUUCUUGUUUGGGUUCAGUUUUAUUUUAAGCACAGGAAAAUGCAAAACAUCCUGGAAUAUAUUACUCACGAUUAUUGCCAAGGGAAAGAAAUCUGUCUCCUAUUUGAAGAACUGCCUGGCGAUAGAUUGUGGCAAUCACACAGAACUUUGCAAUUUGCAAAGGGCUCCACUUCAUUUGAUCCCACAAGCUUGUGCGAGAAGGAAAUGGGUCAGAGAAUUAAACACCAGAGCAAGAGAUUGCCAAGAAGAUGAACCCACUCACUCACGAUCCCACGUGCCUGCUUCCAUCUGCAGAACCCGGAUGGGAAGACCCAUCCCAGCAGGGUUCAUGUGAAGCUCACCAUCAGAACCUGAGGCAGAGCCAAGCCCAGCCCUCCACCGGCGGCAGCAGAGCACACAGGCUGGGAAAGGCGCGGUGAGGGAGGCUGGAAGAGCCUUUGAAGUCCUGCUUUUGCAGAAACAAACCUAUAAAUGAUGGCGUAUAUCAUAAGCACAGUAAUGAAUUGCCUUAAAACUGGUGUCUGCUUCACUUUAGUGUUUUUUUUUUUUUUAAUGGCAGCAUUUUUCUUUUUCUUUUUUAAAAGAUUUAAUUUUAAUUUCAGUUAGUUAGCUUCAGGAGUAUAAUAGAGUGAUUCAACACGGCUAUACAUAGGCCGCAUGUUAAUGUUUAAUGUGGAGUUACAGAUGUUGAUCAAGGGGGAAAAAAAAAAAAACCUGGGAAGAAAAUAUGGUACAAG